Molecule: unclassified non-coding RNA, 402 nt
Filed under: soil metagenome
Description: partial contains 5.8S ribosomal RNA, internal transcribed spacer 2, and large subunit ribosomal RNA
Rfam family: 5.8S ribosomal RNA (bases 1-121)
Source: RNAcentral
GAUGAAGAACGUAGCGAAAUGCGAUAAGUAAUGUGAAUUGCAGAAUUCAGUGAAUCAUCGAAUCUUUGAUCGCACCUUGCGCCCUUUGGCUAUUCUGAAGGGCAUGCCUGUUUGAGUAUCAUGAACACCUCAACUCUCAUGGCCUGCCAUGAUGAGCUUGGACUUUGGGGGUCUUGCCGGCCUAGCGUCGGCUCCUCUCAAAUGGAUCAGCUUGCCAGUGUUUGGUGGCGUCACAGGUGUGAUAACUAUCUACGCUCGUGGUUCCCCACCAUGUAACCUUCAGCGAUGGAGGUUCGCUGGAGCUCACAGAUGUCUCUCCUAGGGGAGGACAGCUUUACGAACGUUUGAUCUCAAAUCAGGUAGGACUACCCGCUGAACUUAAGCAUAUCAAUAAGCGGAGGA